UGAGGAAUCUUGCACAAUGGGCGAAAGCCUGAUGCAGCGACGCCGCGUGAGCGAUGAAGGCCUUCGGGUUGUAAAGCUCUGUGGGGAGGGACGAAUAGGCACUGGCCAAUAUCCAGUGUGAUGACGGUACCUCCUUAGCAAGCACCGGCUAACUCUGUGCCAGCAGCCGCGGUAAGACAGAGGGUGCAAACGUUGUUCGGAAUUACUGGGCGUAAAGCGCGUGUAGGCGGCUACGUAAGUCGGACGUGAAAUCCCACGGCUCAACUGUGGAAGUGCGCUCGAAACUGUGUAGCUUGAGUCCUGGAGAGGAAGACGGAAUACUUGGUGUAGAGGUGAAAUUCGUAGAUAUCAGGUAGAACACCAGUGGCGAAGGCGGUCUUCUGGACAGUGACUGACGCUGAGACGCGAAAGCGUGGGGAGCAAACAGG
Molecule: ribosomal RNA, 428 nt
Filed under: uncultured bacterium
Lineage: Bacteria
Description: bacterial SSU rRNA
Rfam family: Bacterial small subunit ribosomal RNA
Source: RNAcentral